RNAcentral lists this ribosomal RNA (431 nucleotides) under uncultured bacterium. RNAcentral's name for it is "partial 16S ribosomal RNA". It matches the Rfam family "Bacterial small subunit ribosomal RNA", at positions 29 to 507 of the family's 1533-position model. The record is from RNAcentral.
AACGAACGCUGGCGGCAGGCUUAACACAUGCAAGUCGAACGCCCCGCCAGGGGAGUGGCAGACGGGUGAGUAACGCGUGGGAACAUACCCUUUUCUACGGAAUAGCUCUGGGAAACUGGAAUUAAUACCGUAUACGCCCUACGGGGGAAAGAUUUAUCGGGGAAGGAUUGGCCCGCGUUGGAUUAGCUAGUUGGUGGGGUAAAGGCCUACCAAGGCGACGAUCCAUAGCUGGUCUGAGAGGAUGAUCAGCCACAUUGGGACUGAGACACGGCCCAAACUCCUACGGGAGGCAGCAGUGGGGAAUAUUGGACAAUGGGCGCAAGCCUGAUCCAGCCAUGCCGCGUGAGUGAUGAAGGCCUUAGGGUUGUAAAGCUCUUUCAACGAUGAAGAUAAUGACGGUAGUCGGAGAAGAAGCCCCGGCUAACUUCGUG